AAAAUGCGAUAAGUAAUGUGAAUUGCAGAAUUCAGUGAAUCAUCGAAUCUUUGAACGCACAUUGCGCCCGCCAGUAUUCUGGCGGGCAUGCCUGUUCGAGCGUCAUUUCAACCCUCAAUCUCCCGGGUUUGGUGUUGGGGAUCGGGCUGCGGUUCUACCGCGUCCCGGCCCCGAAAUCUAGUGGCGGUCUCGCUGCAGCCUCCAUUGCGUAGUAGCUAACACCUCGCAACUGGAACGCGGCGCGGCCAAGCCGUUAAACCCCCAACUUCUGAAUGUUGACCUCGGAUCAGGUAGGAAUACCCGCUGAACUUAAGC
Molecule: unclassified non-coding RNA, 315 nt
Filed under: plant metagenome
Description: partial contains 5.8S ribosomal RNA, internal transcribed spacer 2, and large subunit ribosomal RNA
Rfam family: 5.8S ribosomal RNA (bases 1-105)
Source: RNAcentral